GAGAGAGGUUAAAGCAGUAAGGAGUGCUAAUCCCUACGUCCAUGGUUAACUCUCAUCAAACGGAUGGGAGUCCCACCUGCCCGGUGAUAU
Molecule: transfer RNA, 90 nt
Filed under: Megalechis thoracata
Lineage: Eukaryota; Metazoa; Chordata; Actinopteri; Siluriformes; Callichthyidae
Description: partial tRNA-Ser
Source: RNAcentral